UCACAACAUCAAUUUGUGUUUCUGACUGAUAACGAGGACAUUAAGUGUAACAAUUGCGCGAGAGCUUAAGAGCUGUAUUUUCAGACUUUGACAUCUCAUUGUAUAUGCACAGACAUUUAGUAAAUUACACUGUGUUCUGCUGUUAUCUAAUGGUAGUGCAUUUGAUGCUAUCAUGUAUUCCAUCGGGCCAUCUCAUCCUCCUGCGCUCCAUAGUGGACAAUGUGACGGUGAGACAGUGCAGAUUAAAUUUUAAGAACAAAUUUUGAUUUAAGAUUUGAGUUAGAUUUUGG
Etheostoma cragini (Arkansas darter) is the source of this 290-nucleotide long non-coding RNA. RefSeq lists it as uncharacterized. The transcript is spliced from 3 exons. The record is from RefSeq and is a predicted model, not a curated record. NCBI's taxonomy places the organism in Eukaryota, Metazoa, Chordata, Actinopteri, Perciformes, Percidae.